GACGAACGCUGGCGGCGUGCUUAACACAUGCAAGUCGAACGGUGAAGGCGGAGCUUGCUCUGCCGGAUCAGUGGCGAACGGGUGAGUAACACGUGGGCAACCUGCCCCUCACUUCGGGAUAACUCCGGGAAACCGGGGCUAAUACCGGAUACGACCUCCUUGGGCAUCUUUGGAGGUGGAAAGUUUUUCGGUGAGGGAUGGGCCCGCGGCCUAUCAGCUUGUUGGUGAGGUAGUGGCUCACCAAGGCGACGACGGGUAGCCGGCCUGAGAGGGCGACCGGCCACACUGGGACUGAGACACGGCCCAGACUCCUACGGGAGGCAGCAGUGGGGAAUAUUGCGCAAUGGGCGAAAGCCUGACGCAGCAACGCCGCGUGCGGGAUGAAGGCCUUCGGGCUGUAAACCGCUUUCAGCAGGGAAGAAGCCGCAAGGUGACGGUACCUGCAGAAGAAGCACCGGCUAACUACGUGCCAGCCGCCGCCGUAA
This 485-nucleotide ribosomal RNA is filed under the name uncultured bacterium. RNAcentral's name for it is "partial 16S ribosomal RNA". It matches the Rfam family "Bacterial small subunit ribosomal RNA", at positions 28 to 523 of the family's 1533-position model. The record is from RNAcentral.